Molecule: ribosomal RNA, 815 nt
Filed under: Sclerospora graminicola
Lineage: Eukaryota; Oomycota; Peronosporomycetes; Peronosporales; Peronosporaceae
Description: partial 28S ribosomal RNA
Rfam family: Eukaryotic large subunit ribosomal RNA
Source: RNAcentral
ACCGAAUCGUUUCCAGUGUCUAUAAUCUGCGAUAUAUUUCAUCGGCGAAUGUGUGCGUGCGUGUACUAUGGCAGCGGCUUUUUGGCUGCGCUUGGUAUAUGUGCUGUGCUUCCUUGCUGGUGCCCUGUAUUGUGGUGGGACGCCAAUGUCAGUUCGUAAACCGCGGGAAAUGACUACCGAGGAGGUAAGGCUUACGCUUGCGUUUGUCUGUUAUAUCUUGGUGGACGAGUAGUUGUGGUUGGGACUGAGGUGCCUACAACGUGCUUUUGAGUGGGACUGCGUCUCCGUGUGCGCCGUGUGCGGAUAGCUUGCUAUAUGCGUGUGGUUGUGUAUGGAUUGAUGCGGACUUUAACUUGUUGCCGUUCGGGACGUUGGCGAAAUGGAGCGAUUUGACCCGUCUUGAAACACGGACCAAGGAGUCUAACAUGUGUGCAAGUGUUAGUCGAAACCCGGACGCGUAAUUAACGUGAAGGGCAGCGCAAGCUGUCUGAGGUAGGAAACGUUGCGGACUUCGGUCUGCGAUGUGGCACUAUCGACCGAUCAUGAACCUUCGUGGUGAAAGAUUUGAGUUUGAGCACAUAUGUUGGCACCCGAAAGAUGGUGAACUAUGCCUGAGUAGAGUGAAGCCAGGGGGAACUCUGGUGGAAGCUCGUAGCGAUUCUGACGUGCAAAUCGAUCGUUGAACUUGGGUAUAGGGGCGAAAGACUAAUCGAACCAUCUAGUAGCUGGUUCCCUCCGAAAUCUCCCUCAGGAUAGCAACAACUUAUUUACGAUAGUUUUAUGAGGUAAAGCGAAUGAUUAGAGGAUUCGGGGAA